GAUGAACGCUGGCGGCGUGCCUAACACAUGCAAGUCGAACGGAAGGGCGCUGCUUUUGCGGGGUGCUCGAGUGGCGAACGGGUGAGAAACACGUGAGUAACCUGCCCUUGACUGUGGGAUAACUUCAGGAAACUGGGGAUAAUACCGGAUAGGAGCUCCCGCUGCAUGGUGGGGGUUGGAAAGUUUCGGCGGUGUUGGACGGACUCGCGGCUUAUCAGCUUGUUGGUGGGGGAGUGGCUUACGAAGGCUUUGACGGGUAGGCGGCCUGGGAGGGGGACCGCGCACAAUAGGACUAAGAGACGCACCAGACUGGUACGGGAGGCAGCGGGGGGAAGUAUGACACAGUGAGCGCGAGCGUGUGACGGAGGCCCUGGGAGCGGAAAGACGGCCUUCGGGGGAUGAACCGCUGUCGCCUGUGACGAAGCGUGAGUGACGGUAAUGGGUAAAGAAGCACCGGCUAACUACGUG
RNAcentral lists this ribosomal RNA (468 nucleotides) under uncultured bacterium. RNAcentral describes it as "partial 16S ribosomal RNA". It matches the Rfam family "Bacterial small subunit ribosomal RNA", at positions 28 to 507 of the family's 1533-position model. The record is from RNAcentral.